Molecule: ribosomal RNA, 300 nt
Filed under: uncultured Roseococcus sp.
Lineage: Bacteria; Pseudomonadati; Pseudomonadota; Alphaproteobacteria; Acetobacterales; Roseomonadaceae
Description: bacterial SSU rRNA
Rfam family: Bacterial small subunit ribosomal RNA
Source: RNAcentral
GCGAAGUCCGGGAGAGCAGCGGGGGGAAUACGGAGGGUGCAGGCGGUAAUCUGAAUUGCUGGGCGUAAAGCGCACGCAGGCGGUUGGAUAAGGUAGAUGGGAAAGCCCCGGGCUCAACCUGGGAAUUUCAUUUAAAACUGUCCAGCUAGAGUCUUGUAGAGGGGGGUAGAAUUCCAGGUGUAGCGGUGAAAUGCGUAGAGAUCUGGAGGAAUACCGGUGGCGAAGGCGGCCCCCUGGACAAAGACUGACGCUCAGGUGCGAAAGCGUGGGGAGCAAACAGGAUUAGAUACCCGUGUAGUC